RNAcentral lists this ribosomal RNA (406 nucleotides) under uncultured bacterium. RNAcentral describes it as "partial 16S ribosomal RNA". It matches the Rfam family "Bacterial small subunit ribosomal RNA", at positions 30 to 526 of the family's 1533-position model. The record is from RNAcentral.
AUUGAACGCUGGCGGCAGGCCUAACACAUGCAAGUCGAACGAGUGGCGGACGGGUGAGUAAUGUCUGUGAAACUGCCUGAUGGAGGGGGAUAACUACUGGAAACGGUAGCUAAUACCGCAUACCAUCGGAUGUGCCCAGAUGGGCUUAGCUAGUGGGUGGGGUAAAGGCUCACCUAGGCGACGAUCCCUAGCUGGUCUGAGAGGAUGACCAGCAACACUGGAACGUGGACACGGUCCAGACUCCGACGGGAGGCAGCAGUGGGGAAUAUUGCACAAUGGGCGCAAGCCUGAUGCAGCCAUGCGGCGUGGAUGAAGAAGGACUUCGGGUUGUAAAGUACUUUCAGCGGGGAGGCGUUACCCGCAGAAGAAGCACCGGCUAACUCCGUGCCAGCCGCCGCGGUAAUAC